UACGGGGGGAGCAAGCGUUGUUCGGAUUUACUGGGCGUAAAGGGCGCGUAGGCGGUCGUGACAAGUCACUUGUGAAAUCUCCAGGCUCAACCUGGAGGGGUCAUUCGAUACUGCCGUGACUAGAGUUCGGUAGGGGAGUGUGGAAUUCCUGGUGGAGCGGUGAAAUGCGCAGAUAUCAGAAGGAACACCCGUAGCGAAGGCGGCACUCUGGGCCGAUACUGACACUGAGGAGCGAAAGCGUGGGGAGCGAACAGG
RNAcentral lists this ribosomal RNA (255 nucleotides) under uncultured bacterium. RNAcentral's name for it is "partial 16S ribosomal RNA". It matches the Rfam family "Bacterial small subunit ribosomal RNA", at positions 524 to 776 of the family's 1533-position model. The record is from RNAcentral.